RNAcentral lists this ribosomal RNA (468 nucleotides) under uncultured bacterium. RNAcentral's name for it is "bacterial SSU rRNA". It matches the Rfam family "Bacterial small subunit ribosomal RNA", at positions 28 to 508 of the family's 1533-position model. The record is from RNAcentral.
GACGAACGCUGGCGGCGUGCUUAACACAUGCAAGUCGAACGGAAAGGCUCCAGCUUGCUGGAGUACUCGAGUGGCGAACGGGUGAGUAACACGUGGGUAAUCUGCCCUGCACUCUGGGAUAAGCCUGGGAAACUGGGUCUAAUACUGGAUAUGACCUUUCUCCUUAUGGGGUUUGGUGGAAAGUUUUUCGGUGUAGGAUGAGCCCGCGGCCUAUCAGCUUGUUGGUGGGGUGAUGGCCUACCAAGGCGACGACGGGUAGCCGGCCUGAGAGGGUGAUCGGCCACAUUGGGACUGAGAUACGGCCCAGACUCCUACGGGAGGCAGCAGUGGGGAAUAUUGCACAAUGGGCGGAAGCCUGAUGCAGCGACGCCGCGUGAGGGAUGACGGCCUUCGGGUUGUAAACCUCUUUCAGCAGGGACGAAGCGUAAGUGACGGUACCUGCAGAAGAAGCACCGGCUAACUAUGUGC